RNAcentral lists this transfer RNA (64 nucleotides) under Neohermes inexpectatus. RNAcentral's name for it is "tRNA-His". Lineage: Eukaryota; Metazoa; Arthropoda; Insecta; Megaloptera; Corydalidae. The record is from RNAcentral.
AUUUAAGUAGUUUAAAUAAAAUAUUGAUUUGUGGUAUCAAUGAUGUAUUAAAAUACCUUAAAUC